This 1486-nucleotide ribosomal RNA is filed under the name uncultured bacterium. RNAcentral's name for it is "partial 16S ribosomal RNA". It matches the Rfam family "Bacterial small subunit ribosomal RNA". The record is from RNAcentral.
UUAGUUUGAUCCUGGCUCAGGAUGAACGCUGGCGGCGUGCCUAACACAUGCAAGUCGAACGAAGCACUUUUGCUGAUUUUCUUCGGAAGAGAAGUGACUGUGACUGAGUGGCGGACGGGUGAGUAACGCGUGGGCAACCUGCCCCAUACAGGGGGAUAACAGCCGGAAACGGCUGCUAAUACCGCAUAAGCGCACGGCACCGCAUGGUGCAGUGUGGAAAACUCCGGUGGUAUGGGAUGGGCCCGCGUCUGAUUAGCCAGUUGGCGGGGUAACGGCCCACCAAAGCGACGAUCAGUAGCCGGCCUGAGAGGGCGACCGGCCACAUUGGGACUGAGACACGGCCCAGACUCCUGCGGGAGGCAGCAGUGGGGAAUAUUGCACAAUGGGGGGAACCCUGAUGCAGCGACGCCGCGUGAGCGAAGAAGUAUUUCGGUAUGUAAAGCUCUGUCAGCAGGGAAGAAGAUGACGGUACCUGACCAAGAAGCUCCGGCUAAAUACGUGCCAGCAGCCGCGGUAAUACGUAUGGAGCAAGCGUUAUCCGGAUUUACUGGGUGUAAAGGGAGCGCAGGCGGCAUGGCAAGUCUGAUGUGAAAACCCGGGGCUCAACCGCGGGAGUGCAUUGGAAACUGCCGGGCUGGAGUGUCGGAGGGGUAAGCGGAAUUCCUGGUGUAGCGGUGAAAUGCGUAGAUAUCAGGAGGAACACCGGUGGCGAAGGCGGCUUACUGGACGACAACUGACGCUGAUGCUCGAAGGCGCGGGUAUCGAACAGGAUUAGAUACCCUGGUAGUCCGCGCGGUAAACGAUGGACGCCCGCCGUGGGGGAUUGAUUUUCCGCGGCCAAGCGAAAGCGUUAAGCGUCCCACCUGGGGAGUACGCCGGCAACGGUGAAACUCAAAGGAAUUGACGGGGGCCCGCACAAGCGGAGGAACAUGUGGUUUAAUUCGAUGAUACGCGAGGAACCUUACCCGGGCUUGAACUGCGGGGGAAUCGGCCGGAGACGGUCGCGCCCUUCGGGGUCCCUGCGGAGGUGCUGCAUGGUUGUCGUCAGCUCGUGCCGUGAGGUGUCGGCUCAAGUGCCAUAACGAGCGCAACCCCCGCCCCCAGUUGCCAUCGGGCGAGGCCGGGCACUCUGGGGGGACUGCCGCCGCAAGGUGCGAGGAAGGCGGGGACGACGUCAAAUCAGCACGGCCCUUACGUCCGGGGCCACACACGUGUUACAAUGGGGCGCACAGAGCGCUGGGUGCGCGCAAGCGCGCCCGAAUCGCGAAACCGCCCCUCAGUUCGGACUGGGGUCUGCAACCCGACCCCACGAAGCUGGAUUCGCUAGUAAUCGCGCAUCAGCCAUGGCGCGGUGAAUACGUUCCCGGGCCUUGUACACACCGCCCGUCAAGCCAUGAAAGCCGGGGGCGCCUGAAGUCCGUGACCGCGAGGGUCGGCCUAGGGCGAGACCGGUGAUUGGGGCUAAGUCGUAACAAGGUAACCGUAA